CGCCAGUGUCUCACUUAGCACCCCGCGCCCGGAGGAGACAUGAAAGACAGCGGCCUUCCUCUUGCUGAUGACCGGGCUUCUGUUUGAUCCUGUUUACAAAGCUUUCGAAGAUCGAGAAUAACCCAACUCCUCUGCGCUGGCAGUUGGAAGCAGAAGAAAAUAAAGAGUUGAGAAUUGAAGCUGGGAGACUUGGCAGCUAAUUCAGAGGCAGCAAUUGUGUGAGCAGCCCCUUGGCAAGAGGACCAAGUGUAGCUUGUGACAGAAUUGAAUGGAGAUGAUCCCAAGCUGAAAGCCAGAACAGGAUCUUCUUUUGAGUUCACCGAGUGACCUGCAAUUUCAUUCCAGC
RNAcentral lists this long non-coding RNA (346 nucleotides) under Chloebia gouldiae (Gouldian finch). RNAcentral describes it as "Erythrura gouldiae (Gouldian finch) lncRNA (ENSEGOG00005006200.1)". Lineage: Eukaryota; Metazoa; Chordata; Aves; Passeriformes; Passeridae. The record is from RNAcentral.